RNAcentral lists this unclassified non-coding RNA (275 nucleotides) under Hevea brasiliensis (rubber tree). The record is from RNAcentral. Lineage: Eukaryota; Viridiplantae; Streptophyta; Magnoliopsida; Malpighiales; Euphorbiaceae.
ACCAAAAUAUAGGCAUGACUUCUGCCAGAAGCCUGAAGAGGUCAUUGUGACUAUAUUUGCAAAGGGCUUACCAGCCAGUAGUGUUACCGUUGACUUUGGUGAACAAAUACUAAGUGUUAGCAUCACUGUUCCUGGUGAAGACUCGUAUAUUUUUCAACAUCGCUUAUUUGGGAAGAUAAUACCUGCCAAGUGUAGAUAUGAUGUUUUGUCUACAAAGGUUGAAAUCCGCCUUGCGAAGGCUGAUCCUGUACAACUGUUGGUUCCUUCUUGUAUUC